UCCGCUGUAGUGAGAACAGCAGCACACCGCUUUGGUAAGGCGGAAGCGCCGGGGCGGCACCGGCCAGCGGAACCA
RNAcentral lists this transfer RNA (75 nucleotides) under Oscillochloris sp. RNAcentral describes it as "tRNA-Thr". Lineage: Bacteria; Bacillati; Chloroflexota; Chloroflexia; Chloroflexales; Oscillochloridaceae. The record is from RNAcentral.